This 253-nucleotide ribosomal RNA is filed under the name uncultured bacterium. RNAcentral's name for it is "partial 16S ribosomal RNA". It matches the Rfam family "Bacterial small subunit ribosomal RNA", at positions 524 to 776 of the family's 1533-position model. The record is from RNAcentral.
UACGGUGGGAGCAAGCGUUGUUCGGAUUUACUGGGAGUAAAGGGCGCGUAGGCGGCUUGACAAGUCACUUGUGAAAUCUCCGGGCUUAACUCGGAACGGCCAAGUGAAACUGUCAUGCUAGAGUGCAGAAGGGGCAAUCGGAAUUCUUGGUGUAGCGGUGAAAUGCGUAGAUAUCAAGAGGAACACCUGAGGUGAAGACGGGUUGCUGGGCUGACACUGACGCUGAGGCGCGAAAGCCAGGGGAGCAAACGGG